CCUACGGGUGGCAGCAGUGAGGAAUAUUGGUCAAUGGACGCAAGUCUGAACCAGCCAUGCCGCGUGAAGGAAGACGGCUCUAUGAGUUGUAAACUGCUUUUGUACGAGGGUAAACGUAGAUACGCGUAUCUGUUUGAAUGUAUCCUACGAAUAAGGAUCGGCUAACUCCGUGCCAGCAGCCGCGGUAAUACGGAGGAUUCAAGCGUUAUCCGGAUUUAUUGGGUUUAAAGGGUGCGUAGGCGGUCGGGUAAGCUAGAGGUGAAAGCCCGAGGCUCAACUUCGGAACUGCAUUUGAUACUGUAAGGCUAGAGAGUAGUUGCGGUAGGCGGAAUGUAUAGUGUAGCGGUGAAAUGCUUAGAGAUCA
This 364-nucleotide ribosomal RNA is filed under the name uncultured bacterium. RNAcentral's name for it is "partial 16S ribosomal RNA". It matches the Rfam family "Bacterial small subunit ribosomal RNA", at positions 338 to 699 of the family's 1533-position model. The record is from RNAcentral.